Molecule: ribosomal RNA, 253 nt
Filed under: uncultured bacterium
Lineage: Bacteria
Description: partial 16S ribosomal RNA
Rfam family: Bacterial small subunit ribosomal RNA
Source: RNAcentral
UACGGGGGGGGUAAGCGUUGGUCGGAAUUACUGGGCGUAAAGGGCUCGUAGGCGGCCAACUAAGUCAGACGUGAAAUCCCUCAGCUUAACUGGGGAACUGCGUCUGAUACUGGAUGGCUUGGAUUCGGGAGAGGAAUGCGGAAUUCCAGGUGUAGCGGUGAAAUGCGUAGAUAUCUGGAGGAACACCGGUGGCGAAGGCGGCAUUCUGGACCGAUAUUGACGCUGAGGAGCGAAAGCCAGGGGAGCAAACGGG